This 447-nucleotide ribosomal RNA is filed under the name uncultured bacterium. Its description in RNAcentral is "partial 16S ribosomal RNA". It matches the Rfam family "Bacterial small subunit ribosomal RNA", at positions 29 to 523 of the family's 1533-position model. The record is from RNAcentral.
AGCGAACGCUGGCGGCAGGCUUAACACAUGCAAGUCGAGCGCCCCGCAAGGGGAGCGGCAGACGGGAGAGUAACACGUGGGAACGUACCCUUCAGUUCGGAACAACCCAGGGAAACUUGGGCUAAUACCGAAUACGUCCGUAAGGAGAAAGAUUUAUCGCUGAAGGAUCGGCCCGCGUCUGAUUAGCUAGUUGGUGAGGUAACGGCUCACCAAGGCGACGAUCAGUAGCUGGUCUGAGAGGAUGAUCAGCCUCACUGGGACUGAGACACGGCCCAGACUCCUACGGGAGGCAGCAGUGGGGAAUAUUGGACAAUGGGCGCAAGCCUGAUCCAGCCAUGCCGCGUGGAUGAUGAAGGCCUUAGGGUUGUAAAGUCCUUUUAACGGGGAAGAUAAUGACGGUACCCGUAGAAUAAGCCCCGGCUAACUUCGUGCCAGCCGCCGCCGUAA